AUUAGAGCGGCCGAUAUCUGAUUAGCUUGUUGGGUAGGGGUAAAACGCCCAACCGAAGGCGACGAUCAGUAGCUGGUCUGAGAGGACGAUCAGCCACACGUGGGACUGAGACACCGGCCCAGACCUCCGUAACGGGGAGGCAGCAGGUAGGGGUAAGUUUUGGAACAAGUGGGGGCAACCCUGAUCCAGCAAUGCCGCGUGAGUGAAGAAGGCCUUCGGGUUGUAAAGCUCUUUUGUCAGGGAAGAAACAGCAGCUCUAACACAGUCUGCGAAUGACGGUACCUGAAGAAUAAGCACCGGCUAACUACGUG
Molecule: ribosomal RNA, 311 nt
Filed under: uncultured bacterium
Lineage: Bacteria
Description: bacterial SSU rRNA
Rfam family: Bacterial small subunit ribosomal RNA
Source: RNAcentral